Long non-coding RNA from Gadus macrocephalus (Pacific cod), 1025 nucleotides. RefSeq lists it as uncharacterized. NCBI's taxonomy places the organism in Eukaryota, Metazoa, Chordata, Actinopteri, Gadiformes, Gadidae. The record is from RefSeq and is a predicted model, not a curated record. The transcript is spliced from 2 exons.
AUCUGCCCACAAACAGACAUGAGGCCAUUUACAAAUAAGUUAUUUUCAGCUUUCUGAAUGAGUACGAUUGUGGGAUACAUAACAGUAGCCUCACUGAAGGUAAACAUGAGAGGCUAAUCGAUGAGCACUAAAUGAGGUAAGUAUAUGAGGUAAGUAGGUCAGCAGUCAGAUAGGCCGACUCUAAUACCUAAAACACAAGCAGAAAACCCUGAUAAAACGUUCAUGUUUUAAUACAUAAGAGGAGCAUUGAGGCCGUGUUCAGAGAGCUGCAGGUCGGGGAGCUGAGUGGUCGGACCGUCUCGAUGUGUUGCUAGGCAAACUAACUCUUCUGAAGCACAUGUGUUCCCGAACUGCGGCAAACGGCGAGCCGCGCCCCCCGACGCCUCACCAAGGGGGGCCCGGACCCCGACAGCAAGGCGGCGGAUACAGUACGUGACGUCACUCAACAUGGCAACACACGGAGGUGUGGACAGUGAUGCGAUGUUUUUAAGAUCCCAAUUAUUCAAAGUUAACCAUGCAAUUAAUCGAAAAACCAACAAAAGUAGUGCGUGUUAUCUAUUCAAGACAAUGAACACUGUAGUUUAGGAAAUACCAGCUUUAUGCCGAACGAAGUGUGAAUAUAACGCCCACCUCGCGAGGCAGCGUGGCCCGCGAGAUGCUGCUGCGCGCCCAUUUUACGACCUGCUCCACGAGCCUCCGAGAAGAGCCCUAUGAACGGCAUUACAAUCACAAAUAAACCACGAGCCUCCUUUACAUUCAGAUAUAACAUACACAACGACUCAUCUGAUGUGGAGACCCUCUGAUGGAUGCCCAUCAGCCCGUCGCACCGACGAAACACGGAAAGUCUUCAAAAUGUUGCACCUUGUGCAUGUUCUGGUUCAUAACUGGUUCACUUAUCUCUAAAUGGGCGAUGGUUCCCAGCACCCUCGAAUCUGCUUUUGAAUAACAACCUAAAUGUAAACAGUAUACUCCAAAAUCCCGCCAAGGUUUAAACAUUUAAUUGCAAAAUAAACCUUUUAACAUUA